UACGGAGGAUGCAAGCGUUAUCCGGAUUCAUUGGGUUUAAAGGGUGCGUAGGCGGGCUAUUAAGUCAGUGGUGAAAUCCUGCAGCUUAACUGCAGAACUGCCGUUGAUACUGAUAGUCUUGAGUUUGGUUAAGGUAGGCGGAAUGUGUAAUGUAGCGGUGAAAUGCUUAGAUAUUACACAGAACACCGAUUGCGAAGGCAGCUUACUGAGCCGACACUGACGCUGAGGCACGAAAGCGUGGGGAUCAAACAGGAUUA
This 257-nucleotide ribosomal RNA is filed under the name uncultured prokaryote. RNAcentral's name for it is "partial 16S ribosomal RNA". It matches the Rfam family "Bacterial small subunit ribosomal RNA", at positions 524 to 780 of the family's 1533-position model. The record is from RNAcentral.